GACGAACGCUGGCGGCAUGCUUAACACAUGCAAGUCGAACGGAAAGACCCUGCUUUUGUGGUGUGCUCGAGUGGCGAACGGGUAAGUAACACGUGAGUAACCUGCCCUUGACUUUGGGAUAACUUCAGGAAACUGGGGCUAAUACCGGAUAGGAGCUCCUGCUGCAUGGUGGGGGUUGGAAAGUUUCGGCGGUUGGGGAUGGACUCGCGGCUUAUCAGCUUGUUGGUGGGGUAGUUGCUUACCAAGGCUUUGACGGGUAGCCGGCCUGAGAGGGUGACCGGCGACAGUGGUACUGAGAGACGGAGCAGAGUGCUAUGGGAGGCAGCAGUGGGGAAUAUUGCACAAUGGUAGGAAGCCUGAUGCAGAAGCGCUGCGUGCGUGAUGACGGCCUUCGGGUUGUAAACAGCUUUAGCCUGUGACGAAGCGUGAGUGACGGUAAUGGGUAAAGAAGCACCGGCUAACUACGUG
This 468-nucleotide ribosomal RNA is filed under the name uncultured bacterium. RNAcentral describes it as "partial 16S ribosomal RNA". It matches the Rfam family "Bacterial small subunit ribosomal RNA", at positions 28 to 507 of the family's 1533-position model. The record is from RNAcentral.